GGCAGAUAUUGUAUGCAUGUAUAGGACGAGAACAAAUUAAGAAUAAAGAUGAUAGUAGCUCCUGUAAUAGAUGCCGUCUGUGAAUAAGGUUGGGGAAAUCUGGACUGCCAUAGAAAGUAAGAGUAAAUUUAUACUGAAUAGGGACAGAACUGUUGCCUUUUAAAGGUGAAAUAAAGGCAUUCGUGGUCCCUUUUCUGUUGCUAUUGUGACUAAACACUUGUUAGUAUGAAGUGUUUCAAAACUUCAUAAAUAUUUGGCGAUAAUAUGAUAAAUUCUGACAACACAUCAGUUUGGA
This 295-nucleotide long non-coding RNA is filed under the name Mytilus galloprovincialis (Mediterranean mussel). Lineage: Eukaryota; Metazoa; Mollusca; Bivalvia; Mytilida; Mytilidae. The record is from RNAcentral.